CAGUGCCAGACCAGGAAGACCCCCCAAACGCAGUCCAUCUAUUCACGCUAGCCCGGAGACAUUGGAAAAAUUGAAAAAAAGUCGGUUAGAUGGAAAUGAAUAUCAGUAUGAUCCAAGAAUUUAUGGAAAAGAAUACGAAAGGAUCCUAGCUGAUGAGUUCAAAAUAUUUGGUUAUCCAUCCACUAUAGGUAGGAAAACG
Molecule: long non-coding RNA, 199 nt
Organism: Octopus sinensis (East Asian common octopus)
Lineage: Eukaryota; Metazoa; Mollusca; Cephalopoda; Octopoda; Octopodidae
Exons: 2
Source: RefSeq, a predicted model, not a curated record